CUCGAUGUUGCUGUCAAAAGACUCAGCACAUCUUCACAUCAAGGCCUAUCAGAGUUCCGAGCUGAGAUUGAAGUCAUUCCGAAUCUUCGACAUAAAAAUAUAAUUUCGCUACUUGGGUUUUGUGUUCAAGGAAAAGAAAAGAUACUUGUCUAUGAAUAUAUGUCGAACAAUAGCUUGGCAGCCGUCAUUUCUGAUGAGUCAAAAAGGAAAUUGCUUAAUUGGUCAAAGCGUCUUCAAAUAAUCAA
Molecule: ribosomal RNA, 245 nt
Filed under: Triticum aestivum (bread wheat)
Lineage: Eukaryota; Viridiplantae; Streptophyta; Magnoliopsida; Poales; Poaceae
Description: partial small subunit ribosomal RNA
Source: RNAcentral